UCCCGGGUUCGGGCCCUAGUAGUCGGUGGCUGGUCGGUGACUGGGACCAGACCGUCGCCUCCUCCCUUUUACAGCUUUAAGUCUGUGACCCGAGGCCUCUCUGUAUAUUCCCGUGGGGUUGGGCCUAGUUGUCCUGGGAGAAACUAGAUGGAUGAGGAGUAUUUCCGAGACAGGUCCCAGGGCCAGCGCAGCCUUUUCUGUUGCAGAACCGCGACUGUUGUUUUGGGAUCCAGGCCGGAGGGUUUGUUGCUUGUGUUCAUUCCAGUUAACCAUUAGUACUCGAGAAGGUGGUACAGAACGCAUCUAUCCCCUUAGAAGAAAAGAAAUUAAAAGCCAAACUAAACUGGGAUAUAUAUUAAUAUAGGAAACUACCACUGAGACAUAGGAAAGUGUAUUAAAAUAUAACUAGUGAGGUGCUAUGUAUAAUUCAGAGGAAGGGGAAAUUAUGCAUGGGCCAGACUACUAACAAAAGGCUCCAAAGCCUGGGAUACGCUGAGGGCCUUUCCAUAACAGAAAAUGAAAAGGAACCUAAAUUUGAGACUAGAUUUGAGGAAAGGCACAGUUGCGCUGGAGUAGAAAGCGUCUGUCUACCGCAGUGGAAAAAUCUGAAUCUCGAAUGAUGACUGCAAGUGGUUGAAGAUCCAUCAUUACUCUUUCUUCAGAGUAUCCCUGGUUCCUGAUCAUUUCAAGGCCCAAUUUUUUACCUUUCCCUUUGAUUAUUGAACUAAAGGGCUCCCAAAAUCUCUCCUGCAGCAUUUUCCUUGAGAAGGAGGAAGGUUUGCAUCUCUGUGAGAAGAAACAUCAGAAGCAGUUGAAAGACCAGGAUGUGGGUCCUCUGGGGCUGAGGAGGCAUUCUGAAUCAACUGUGUGUUCUACACCUGUGUUUUAACUGUGACCUGUCACAUGAGGACAAGUGUGGAAUUUCCCACUUUUGUGCCAUAAAUCUCUCUCUGGGAACAGUGUGGAAGAUGGAUUGAAAUGGUGUAAAAUUGAAGAUGUGGACUCCGGUUGGGAGACUACACCCUAGAUAAGAUGAAGAGAACUUGAAGCAAGACAAUAGCAAUGGGAAUAUAAAGGAGAGGAGACAUUUGAGUGAAAUUAAGGAAGCACAAUCUGCAGACUGUUUUCUUUUUUUUAAGAGUCAGGGUCUCCCUAUUUUGCCCAGGCUGGUCUCAAAGUCCUAGGCUCAAGCGACCCACCCACCUCAGCCUUCCAAAAUGCUGGAAUUACAGGGGUGAACUGCCUCACCAUGCCUCAGUCUGCAGAAUUUGAUGACUGAAUGUAUUUGGAGAGAGUCUGUGGCUUGGAUGACUGGGAGCUGUGAUUGGUUGAUUGAUUUUGAGGCGGAGUUUCACUCUUGUUGCCCAGGCUGAAGUGCAGUGGCACAACCUCUGCUCACUGCAACCGCUGCC
RNAcentral lists this long non-coding RNA (1412 nucleotides) under Homo sapiens (human). Its description in RNAcentral is "HSALNT0332866". Lineage: Eukaryota; Metazoa; Chordata; Mammalia; Primates; Hominidae. The record is from RNAcentral.